GGAUGUAAAGGAGAAUUGACUGUGAUCAUGGUCACCCCAUUGAUCACCAGGGUUGAUUUGGCUGAUUUGGCAGGCGAGGCUGGUGUCCCCUUCCUCCCUCACUGUUCCGUGUAUGUCCCUCCCAAACCUGCACACCCAGUGGGAAAAGAUGAGCACUCCUGAUAGAGGAGGACCAUGUCCUCAGUCAAGGGUAUACAAGUACUGCACUCCCCUCCUAGACUUACAGAUAAGCUAUCAAGGUUUCUUCAUUUUUGAAGAGAUUUCUGAGUCCUUUUCCACUGGCACUGU
RNAcentral lists this small nuclear RNA (288 nucleotides) under Chinchilla lanigera (long-tailed chinchilla). RNAcentral describes it as "7SK RNA (ENSCLAG00000021609.1)". It matches the Rfam family "7SK RNA". From Rfam's summary of the family: 7SK was discovered as an abundant small nuclear RNA in the mid-70s but a possible function has only recently been suggested. Lineage: Eukaryota; Metazoa; Chordata; Mammalia; Rodentia; Chinchillidae. The record is from Rfam by way of RNAcentral.